This 3936-nucleotide long non-coding RNA is filed under the name Oreochromis niloticus (Nile tilapia). RNAcentral's name for it is "lncRNA (ENSONIG00000039816.1)". The record is from RNAcentral. Lineage: Eukaryota; Metazoa; Chordata; Actinopteri; Cichliformes; Cichlidae.
AUGGAGGAUUCAGAAGAAGACAUUAACGAACAGUUUGCAAACAAAGAAAAAAUAUUAAAUGAGCUGCAAGAUAAAGCUCAAAGUGACUCCGCGGUUCCAAGGCGUUCAGAAAGAGCCAAGGUGCCAACAGAAAAAAUGCUAACUUAUCAGAGAGAAGAGAUAAGUAAAAAAGAAAAAAGACUAUUAACUCUUUAUGAACAAUGGAAAAUACGAGUGCGAGAAACAAGAGAAAGAUUAAAGUUGGACAUUUCAGAGAAAGAAAUGGCAGAUCUUGCAGAUGAUGUAGAGCAAAGAAAAGAUGAACUGCUAAAGUUGUACACUGAAAUGAGAAGUCACAUUGCACCUUCAUCAGACAUACGAAGAAAAACCGAUGCAUGUGAAGCAGUUACUCAUGACAUUGUGAAAGUCAUCCUGGAAAGAAUAAGUGGUGUAGAUGGAGACUUUGAUGCAGAAUAUGAAAGAAAACGUCUACGCAGACUAUUAGAACAUGAUUAUGCCCAAUCCAUCUAUGGUUCAACUGCAGCAUCGAAACGUAGCCAACUGUCUUCAGCCUCACAUCUUGCUUCAAAACGAGCAGAUGCAGCAGCAGAACUAGCAGCGAAAGAAGCGGAGUACAAGAUUGUACAAGAGGAACAAAGACAAAAGGAAAAGAUAAAGGCUCUAGAAGAGGAGCAUAAGAAACAAAUGGCAGUUCAAACAUCAGAGUUGGAACGCCUGAAAGCCGAAAGGGAGGUGGAAGCCGCUCGCGCCAGGUUGGACGUCUACAACAGAGAGUUAUCGCAACUUGAUGAUGCAUAUUCAGUAAAGACGGAAAGGGUGAACCCAGAGCAUACACCCAAACACACUGUACCAUCAUGCACCAUACCGGCGCCAACAGCCCCUCCUAGCGUCAGCCAGCUUGCGCAGGCGGUACAAGACAGCAUAAGAAUAAAUAGACUCCCCACGCCAGAACCAACAAUGUUUAGUGGUGAGCCAAUAAAAUUUAUUGAAUGGAAAUCCACUUUCAUGUCACUUAUUGAACAAACUGGCAUGGCAGCAGCAGAUAAACUGUACUAUCUAAAAAGGUAUGUAACUGGCUCAGCUCGCAAGUGCCUUGAAGGGACUUUCUUCAGAAAUGAUGAAGAAGCAUAUAACGACGCUUGGACAAAGUUAAACCAAAGGUAUGGCCAGCCAUUUGUGCUACAAAGGGCAUUUAGAGAGAAGUUAUCUGGUUGGCCUAAAAUACAGUCGAGAGAUGCUGAUGGGCUAAGGAACUUUGCUGAUUUUGUGAAUGCAUGCACACUUGCCAUGCCUCAUGUGAAAGGACUACAAAUACUCAAUGACUGUGAAGAAAAUCAGAAACUGUUGCAUAAACUGCCAGACUGGAUAAACACAAGAUGGAACAGGCAUGUAACAAAGAUACUCAUGGACGGUGGUGAAUUCCCCAGCUUCAGUGAAUUUGCCUCCUUUCUCUCACUUGAAGCAGAAGUAGCAUGCAACCCAGUCACUUCCAUACAUGCACUUCGCUCUACGGAAACGAAUGAUGACAAAAGAAACACAAGAGAAGUCAAAAGAAACAAGGCAAGUGUAUUCAACAUUAACACAACUGAACGAGAUGCAAAGACUAAAAUACACAACAAUUCUUCAUGCACACUGUGCCAAGAGUCGCAUCCACUUAUAAAGUGCCCAGACUUCCUGCAAAUGACUCUGGAAAUGAAAAGGAAACAUGUAAAGGAUAAUAAGCAUUGUUAUGGUUGUUUAAAACAAGGUCAUAGUGCUAAGGACUGCAGACGGCGCCUCACUUGUGAAACCUGCACUAAGAGACACCCGACCUGUCUUCACGAUGAGAACUACAGCAUUAGUCUGCAAAGAGAAAGGCAAGAUCAAGUGAGUAUAGACAACGCAACACAAGGGAACUCACCUGAAAGUGCAACAGCCAUGGCGUUAAAUGUCGCUAGAGCAGAACACACAGUCAGUACCUCCAUGAUAGUCCCAGUAUGGGUCUCAACGGCUGCUAAUCCACAAAGGGAAAAACUAGUCUAUGCGCUACUAGACACACAGAGUGACACAGUUUUUAUAGAUCAGGAUGUAACACAGAAACUGCAAGCAAAUGUGUGCCCUGUAAAACUCAAACUAACCACAAUGAUGGGUAAAAACGCAGUAGUAAGCAGCGGAAAGGUGUGUGAUCUUCUAGUAAGAGGUUACAAUUCAGCAACAGUGCUAAGGCUCCCAACUGCUUAUACAAAGGACUACAUACCUGCAAAUAGAGAACACAUACCAACAUGUGAAACAGCAAAACUGUGGAGUCAUUUGUCAUCCAUCGUAGAUGAGAUCCCACCGCUCCUCAGUUGUGAGGUGAGUCUCCUGAUUGGUUAUACUUGUCCCCAAGCUCUGGCGCCCAGACAAGUGAUCUUAGGCAAAGACAAUGAGCCAUAUGCCAUCCAAACUGAUUUAGGAUGGAGCAUAGUUGGCAACUCAGUGCCAUGCAAUGCAUUAGAGACAACAAGGAGUCUCUGUCACAGAAUAACUGUUAAAGAAAUGCCUCCAUGUACUCCUGCAGAUGCAAUACGUGCACUAGAAAAGGACUUUAAAGAAAACGAAAUAAACGAAAAGAUGGUGUCUCAAGACGACCUUAGGUUUCUUGAGAAACUUGAACAAGGCAUAACACAAACAGAGAAGGGACAUUAUGAAAUGCCAUUGCCAUUUAAAGAAAGGCCACAAAUGCCAGAUAACAGACAACUCACCGAGAGCAGACUCAAUAAGCUCAACAGUAAACUAAUGUGUGAUGAAAAAUACAAAAAGGACUGUGUCACAUACAUGAAUGACAUUAUACAAAGGGUUGACGUUGAAGAGACUAAUGAUAAUGGACCUGAAGGUGAGACACGAAACAAUGCUGCACCACGGCAAUGGUUCUAUGUACCGACGAGUGAAAAUCCCGCUGACAUAGCAUCAAGAGGCACAUCAGUAGGGGAACUGCUAUCAUCAAACUGGCUCACAGACCCUCAAUUCUUAUGGGAAAAGAAGUUAAAUCUUCCAACUAAAGAGUCUAUUGAACUUUUGGUGGGAGAUCCAGAGGUGAGAAAAGUGCAAACACUCAACAGCCAAACUACAGAACACAGAAGUCUCUGUGACCGUCUCACAAGAUUCUCAUCCUGGUCACACGCUGUCAGUGCCAUAGCACGUCUCAAACGGUUCCUACUCAGAGACAAAUCAAAGUCACUCAGCACUGUAACUGAAAGACAAAACGCUGAAAUGGUGAUUAUCAAAGACUUACAAGGACUAACAUUUUCAGAUGAGAUAAAGACAUUAAGCAAAGGAAAGGCACUACAUGAGAGCAACAAAAUGUACAACUUGGAUCCUUUCUUGGACGAAGACAAUGUGCUCAAGGUGGGAGGAAGGCUGCAACACUCAUCGCUUCCUAACACGUUCAAACAUCCAACUGUCAUUCCAAGAGACCAUCAUAUUACAAAACUCAUAAUCGCUCACUGUCACAAAAGAACAAACCAUCAAGGAAAGAGCUUCACAAUGAACGAAAUACGGUCCAGCGGUUAUUGGAUUCCCAAGUUAAGUCAAACAGUAUCAGACUACAUCCAUCAGUGUGUGACGUGUCGGAGACUAAGAAGAGCUGUGGAAGGACAAAAAAUGAAAGAUCUCCCCACAGAAAGAGUCGAACAAUCUCCGCCUUUCACAUACUGUGGUAUGGAUGUUUUCGGCCCGUUCCUAACCAAACAAGCAAGAAAAGAAAACAAAAGGUACGCUCUCCUUUUCACUUGUUUCUAUUUACGAGCAGUACACGUAGAAAUGUUAGAAGACCUGACUACGGACGGUUUCAUUAAUGGACUAAGGUGCUUUAUAGCUCUGAGAGGCUCUGUCAGACAAAUAAAAUGUGAUCGAGGUACUAACUUUGUAGGUGCCAAAAAUGAACUGUGCGCAGCACUGAAUGAAAUAAAAAACUGA